GAUUUUCUGGCUUAAGAAGUGGCUACAGAAGGUUUUUGAGAAACCAUCUCUACUUCUGGAGCGCUGCAGUGUCUGGAGAGUGCAGCAGAGCUGAGAGGAAGCUGCGUUUCCCAGCUACCACUAUAUCGGAGCAAUGGCAGGACGAUUAACUGCAGGCUUUAAAUCAUCAGUGGCUGGGAUCCUACGUCGUGAACAGUCUGAGGCUUUCCUGAGAUUGAGAUUUGCUGCUCUAGGGAACAAGGCUUCAGGCAGCCCACGGCCUCCGAUUCGGCGCAGCGCUGACGUCUCCCUCUGGACAGACUAGCUCUGAGUGAAGACCCUCAGCCUCACAUUCACCUUUCCCAUCACUCUUACCAUAUUCCUCUUCUUCUUGAAGUCCCCUGGCUCUCUGCACUGGCAGAACUGGUGCCUUGUAGACACAGGAGGAGACCAUGCGGUGUCCCAGGCUGUGGACAGCUGGUCAGCAAGGCCAGCCUCCGACAUUGCUAUCCUGUGGGUCAGUCUUAAUUUAAGGUGGGCUAACAGCCACUGCUAUCACCCUGUUAUUGCAGUUCUCUGAAGACAGAGCCUGAGCCGGAGCUGGAGCUGGUGCUGGUGGUGCAGUGCCCUGUUCUGCAAGAUUUCUAGUGAGUCGUUUUUGGAAGGGCUUGAUCUUCUACAUCCCUGAAAUGACGCUGCAUUUCUGUUCAUGUGAGACACUCUCCUGGUGUUCAGUCUUCCUGUUCCUUAUCACUGGUCAUACAAGAGCUUUGGCUACAAACCACAGAGAUUUAAUAAGACAGCACAGCCUAUACACAUAGGCAAAAAUCGCCAUCGUUUGCUGGCCAGUUGCCAUAUGACCCGGACACAGUUCCUCCGCUCAGUGAUGCAAAAGGCACCCUGACCACACACAUCCCCAAUGGGAGGCUUGAUGACAGCUUGCUUGGCUGCAGCCAACUUCUCCUGCUCUAAAGCAGUGAACACUGUGAUGACAAAUAAUGGAUGGCGACCAGCAUUGUGAAUAAAAAUCCCAAGUGCAUGAAGCA
RNAcentral lists this long non-coding RNA (1025 nucleotides) under Struthio camelus australis. Its description in RNAcentral is "lncRNA (ENSSCUG00000009615.1)". The record is from RNAcentral. Lineage: Eukaryota; Metazoa; Chordata; Aves; Struthioniformes; Struthionidae.